Molecule: ribosomal RNA, 440 nt
Filed under: uncultured bacterium
Lineage: Bacteria
Description: partial 16S ribosomal RNA
Rfam family: Bacterial small subunit ribosomal RNA
Source: RNAcentral
CCUACGGGUGGCAGCAGUAGGGAAUAUUGCUCAAUGGGGGAAACCCUGAAGCAGCAACGCCGCGUGGAGGAUGAAGGUUUUCGGAUUGUAAACUCCUUUUGUUAGAGAAGAUAAUGACGGUAUCUAACGAAUAAUCACCGGCUAACUCCGUGCCAGCAUCCGCGGUAAUACGUAGGGUGCCAGCGUUACUCGGAAUCACUGGGCGUAAAGAGCGCUUAGGCGGGAUAGCAAGUCAGAUGUGAAAUCCUAUGGCUUAACCAUAGAACUGCAUUUGAAACUGUUAUUCUAGAGGAGGGGAGAGGUAGGUGGAAUGAGUGGGGGAGGGGUAAAAUCCGGAGAGAUGAAGAGGAAGAAUCAGUGCGAAGGCGACCUGCUAGAACAUAACUGACGCGGAGGCGCGAAAGCGUGGGGAGCAAACAGGAUUAGAUACCCUAGGAGUC